UUGACCUCAAAUCAGGUAGGACUACCCGCUGAACUUAAGCAUAUCAAUAAGCGGAGGAAAAGAAACUAACAAGGAUUCCCCUAGUAACUGCGAGUGAAGCGGGAAAAGCUCAAAUUUGAAAUCUGGCAGCUCUUUGAACUGUCCGAGUUGUAAUCUAGAGAAGUGUUACCUGUGUUGGACCGUGUACAAGUCUCCUGGAAUGGAGCGUCACAGAGGGUGAGAAUCCCGUCUUUGACACGGACUGCCUGCACGUUAUGGUGCGCUCUCAAAGAGUCGAGUUGUUUGGGAAUGCAGCUCAAAAUGGGUGGUAAAUGCCAUCUAAAGCUAAAUAUUGGCGAGAGACCGAUAGCGAACAAGUACCGUGAGGGAAAGAUGAAAAGAACUUUGGAAAGAGAGUUAAACAGUACGUGAAAUUGCUGAAAGGGAAACGCUUGAAGUCAGUCGCGUCGGCUAGAAAUCAACCUUGCUUUUGCUUGGUGUACUUU
RNAcentral lists this ribosomal RNA (485 nucleotides) under Inocybe whitei. RNAcentral's name for it is "eukaryotic LSU rRNA". It matches the Rfam family "Eukaryotic large subunit ribosomal RNA", at positions 1 to 476 of the family's 3401-position model. The record is from RNAcentral. Lineage: Eukaryota; Fungi; Basidiomycota; Agaricomycetes; Agaricales; Inocybaceae.